UUAUACAACUGUCAUAUAACCAGAAUAUGACUCAUUGAACAGUUAGAAUGUUGUUACCCAAGUUUUGGAGGCUUCCUCAGUUGACCCAUGAGCUCACUUGUUUGACUGGACAAGAAUUCUUUCACAAGCCAAUAAUGAGUUAGCCACCUGGGGCGAAACCAUCUAAGAGACUUUCCAUCCGUCCUCAUCUGGCUAUGUUGACCUACGCACUAAGGGCCGUAUCGUGAAUAGUCGGUGGGACCUCAACUGGUCAGCAUAAAGGUGGCGAGUAACGACAGCCUGAUGACUUUCGAUCGGCCCUACGCUAGACGACUUCUAUUCGGUGCGACCUCAGUCAGUCCC
Molecule: long non-coding RNA, 342 nt
Filed under: Elaeis guineensis (African oil palm)
Lineage: Eukaryota; Viridiplantae; Streptophyta; Magnoliopsida; Arecales; Arecaceae
Description: long non-coding RNA (EGUI_LNC040604)
Source: RNAcentral